Xylariaceae sp. FL1272 is the source of this 82-nucleotide non-coding RNA. NCBI's taxonomy places the organism in Eukaryota, Fungi, Ascomycota, Sordariomycetes, Xylariales, Xylariaceae. The record is from the annotation of a GenBank genome assembly.
GCUGCAGUGACGGAGAGGUCUAACGUGAUCGGCUUGAAACCGAUUUCCUUCGGGAGCGCACGUUCGAAUCGUGCCUGCAGCG